AGGAGUAUAGAUCAGGGGUAGAGCGCUGGCUUCGCAUCCGAGAGGUCUGGGGUUUGAUUCCCCACACCUCCA
Molecule: non-coding RNA, 72 nt
Organism: Parelaphostrongylus tenuis
Lineage: Eukaryota; Metazoa; Nematoda; Chromadorea; Rhabditida; Metastrongylidae
Source: the annotation of a GenBank genome assembly